This 442-nucleotide ribosomal RNA is filed under the name uncultured prokaryote. Its description in RNAcentral is "bacterial SSU rRNA". It matches the Rfam family "Bacterial small subunit ribosomal RNA", at positions 355 to 796 of the family's 1533-position model. The record is from RNAcentral.
UAAGGAAUAUUGGUCAAUGGACGCAAGUCUGAACCAGCUAUGCCGCGUGCAGGAUGAAGGCCUUUGGGUCGUAAACUGCUUUUAUAUGAGAAAAAUAAAUCCCUGCGGGGAUGAAUGAUGGUAUCAUAUGAAUAAGCACCGGCUAACUCCGUGCCAGCAGCCGCGGUAAGACGGAGGGUGCAAGCGUUAUCCGGAUUUACUGGGUUUAAAGGGUACGUAGGCGGCGUUAUAAGUCAGUGAUGAAAGCCAAUAGCUCAACUAUUGAAGUGUCAUUGAUACUGUAAUGCUUGAGUAUAGUCGAGGUGGGCGGAAUUUUACAUGUAGCGGUGAAAUGCAUAGAUAUGUAAAAGAACACCAAUAACGAAGGUAGCUCACUAGGCUAUUACUGACGCUGAGGUACGAAAGCGUGGGUAGCGAACAGGAUUAGAUACCCCCGUAGUCC